RNAcentral lists this ribosomal RNA (253 nucleotides) under uncultured bacterium. RNAcentral's name for it is "partial 16S ribosomal RNA". It matches the Rfam family "Bacterial small subunit ribosomal RNA", at positions 524 to 776 of the family's 1533-position model. The record is from RNAcentral.
UACGUAGGGGGCUAGCGUUGUCCGGAAUCAUUGGGCGUAAAGCGCGUGUAGGCGGUCCGGUAAGUCCGCUGUGAAAGUCGGGGGCUCAACCCUCGGAUGCCGGUGGAUACUGUCGGGCUUGAGUACGGAAGAGGCGAGUGGAAUUCCUGGUGUAGAGGUGAAAUUCGUAGAUAUCAGGAGGAACACCGGUGGCGAAGGCGGCCAUCUGGACGACUACUGACGCUGAGGCGCGAAAGCGUGGGGAUCAAACAGG